AUCUGCAUGGCCGAAAGCCUCAGGUUUCUGGAGGAAGGUUCGUCCGCUCCAGGUUAGUCGGGAGCUAAGGUGAGGCCUAACGGCGUAGCCGAUGCACAGACGGUAGAGAUUCCGUCACCACCAAAAGAGUUAAGCACAGGGACACAUUUGAAGUCUCGGAGCCGGGUGUUGGUUCCGGUAGCGAUCGAGGGAAGUUAGUACCGAAGUCCGGGAUGGAAGAUGGCGAGAAAAGCUGUGUGUAUUUCUGCGGUGCCCGUACCGCAAACCGACACAGGUAGGUAGGAAGAAGAUUCUAAGGCCAACGGGAGAAGGGUUGUUAAGGAACUCGGCAAAUUGACCCCGUAACUUCGGGAGAAGGGGUGCUCCAGAGAUGGAGCCGCAGAGAAUCGGCCCAAGCAACUGUUUACCAAAAACACAGGUUUGUGCUAAAUCGAAAGAUGACGUAUACGAGCUGACGCCUGCCCGGUGCUGGAAGGUUAAGAGGAGAUGUGCAAGCAUUGAAUCGAAGCCCCAGUGAACGGCGGCCGUAACAAUAACGGUCCUAAGGUAGCGAAAUUCCUUGUCAGGUAAGUUCUGACCCGCAUGAAAGGCGUAAUGAUUUGGGCACUGUCUCGACAGCCCGCCCGGCGAAAUUGUAGUACCGGUGAAGAUGCCGGUUACCCGCGACAAGACGGAAAGACCCCAUGGAGCUUUACUGUAGCCUAAUAUUGGGUUUCGAUGUUGCAUGCACAGGAUAGAUGGGACACAGGGAAACAAGUGCUUUGGCAUUUGUGGAGUGGCCGUUGGGAUACCAUCCUUGCGAUAUUGGAAUUCUAACCUGCGCCUUUGAAUCAAGGCGGGGGACAUUGUUAGGUGGGCAGUUUGACUGGGGCGGUCGCCUCCUAAAGAGUAACGGAGGCGUUCAAAGGUUCGCUCAGCUUGAACGGAAAUCAAGCAAAAGAGUGCAAACGCAGAAGCGAGCCUAACUGCGAGACUGACGGGUCGAGCAGUAACGAAAGUUGGAGUUAGUGAUCCGGUGGUAUGUGAGUGGAAAUGCCAUCGCUCAACGGAUAAAAGUUACCCUGGGGAUAACAGGCUGAUCUCCCCCAAGAGUCCACAUCGACGGGGAGGUUUGGCACCUCGAUGUCGGCUCAUCGCAUCCUGGGGCUGUAUUCGGUCCCAAGGGUUUGGCUGUUCGCCAAUUAAAGCGGUACGCGAGCUGGGUUCAGAACGUCGUGAGACAGUUCAGCCCCUAUCUGUCGUGGGCGCAGGAUAUUUGAUGGGAGCUGUUCCUAGUACGAGAGGACCGGAGCGGACGUACCUCUGGCGCACCAGUUGUUCUGCCAAGGGCAUAGCUGGGCAACUAUGUACGGAUCGGAUAAACGCUGAAAGCAUCUAAGCGUGAAGCCGACCCAAAGAUAAGAUAUCCCAUUGUUUCAAACAAGUAAGACCCCUUGAAGACUACAAGGUUGAUAGGCAUGAUGUGUAAGUGGAGUGAUCCAUUCAGCAAGCAUGUACUAAUAGGUCGAGGGCUUGAUC
RNAcentral lists this ribosomal RNA (1518 nucleotides) under metagenome. RNAcentral's name for it is "bacterial LSU rRNA". It matches the Rfam family "Bacterial large subunit ribosomal RNA", at positions 1327 to 2925 of the family's 2925-position model. The record is from RNAcentral.